UCCGGUUUGUCACCGGCAGUCUCCCUAGAGUGCCCUUGCGUAGCAACUAGGGACAAGGGUUGCGCUCGUUGCGGGACUUAACCCAACAUCUCACGACACGAGCUGACGACAGCCAUGCAGCACCUCUACCGACGUCCCUUGCGGGAGGACCCCUUCUCGGGGGCUUUCAUCGGCGGUUCAAACCCAGGUAAGGUUCUUCGCGUUGCGUCGAAUUAAACCACAUGCUCCACCGCUUGUGCGGGCCCCCGUCAAUUCCUUUGAGUUUCAGCCUUGCGGCCGUACUCCCCAGGCGGGGCACUUAAUGCGUUAGCGCCGGCACUCAGAGGGUCGCUCCCCCAAGCACCUAGUGCCCAUCGUUUACGGCGUGGACUAC
RNAcentral lists this unclassified non-coding RNA (373 nucleotides) under uncultured bacterium. RNAcentral's name for it is "contains 16S-23S intergenic spacer region". The record is from RNAcentral.